Molecule: long non-coding RNA, 203 nt
Filed under: Elaeis guineensis (African oil palm)
Lineage: Eukaryota; Viridiplantae; Streptophyta; Magnoliopsida; Arecales; Arecaceae
Description: long non-coding RNA (EGUI_LNC007675)
Source: RNAcentral
AGGGGUUUGGAGUGGGAUUAAGCUUUAUAGGUCUGGAAGGAAUGAUAGCUGAGUACAUCUUGUGCUUCAAGUUUUCGGCUAUAAAUAAUUAGGCUGAAUAUGAGGCUUUGGCUGCAGGACUCCAGAAAGCCAGAGAACUGAGAAUACUGAACUUAAAGGCUUGCAGUGACUCUCAGUUGAUCGUCUUACACAUUCAAGACAAU